This is a long non-coding RNA of Mus musculus (house mouse), 4607 nucleotides long. RefSeq annotates it as predicted gene, 34402. The transcript is spliced from 2 exons. The record is from RefSeq and is a predicted model, not a curated record. NCBI's taxonomy places the organism in Eukaryota, Metazoa, Chordata, Mammalia, Rodentia, Muridae.
UUCAUCACCUGCAUCUCUUUACGUCUGUUCUAAAUUAUAGAUGAUUUGCUAAUAGUGGGCAGAGUUGAGGCAAUUUCUGCUCCCUUUUCUCUCUCCUUGCCAGGUUAAGAUGAUUUCUUUAGCUGUGCCAACUCCAAGGAUGGUAUUUUGACUAGGUGCUUUCUCUUUGCAGGAGACCUUUUUCUGUGCUGCAAUGUCAGCAACAAUUCUAGAGGGACACAAAGCAGAAAGGUUGGGUGCUGGAGGGAACCCAAACCCUCCUGCCUGGAGGGCUUCCAACUCUCUACUCUGUACCUUGUGAUCAGUGACCCAACACCUUACUACGUCUCUGCUCCCUCAUAGCAAAGCCGAAGGAAAGCGCUAGGUGUGCUGUGACUAUCUCUACACAAAGUCUUAUAUGGUAGAAGACUGUGCAAAACUGGGUGUGGUGCAGGCAGAUGCAUGCCUGUGUCCGGACCCUAUACCACUCAGCUGCUUCUGGCAAUAAGCUGACCCGAAGAACAACUUUCGAGACCUUUGGAAUCCAAAAUUACAUGAACCUAAUUUCCCAGCGUUUGGGCUAUGCCUGUUAGAGAAUAGCAGUACCUCUGAUGCAGGCUAUUUUGGUUCCUCAAGGUCUAAGUGAUUUUUUGUACAAGUCAAAACUAAGCACAACAGUGUCCUCACCUUGAGACCCAGAGUGCGUCCUGGCCUCCUCUGCCCAGCCCUCCUGCCUACUGGGAACAGGCUGUGCUGUGCAGCGACCUGCCUCUGGACAUCUGCUGCCAGGGCCGCCUGGGCUGCCAGCUUCCUCUGGGCAGAGCCCCUUCUCCCCAGGCAGCCCAGAAGCCUCCAGGAUGUCUCCCAGCAUGCAGUUCUGUGCCCUUUUGACCACUGGAACUUUGCAAUUUCAUACUGAAAAGAAUUCCAGAGGAAAGCAACCCCCUGCCCUCCGCUCACCACCCCAUCCCAAUUUCAGUUUUCCUUUGAGUCCGUGUACUCAGUGUGCCAAUCUCCUCCUAGCCUCUGAGGCUCUCUGUCCUGCAAUGAGGUCUUAUAUCAUAUGCACCUUCACUCUGGACCAAAAGCAAAUAAAACUAGGCAAUAUCUUCUGGUAAAAACAUGAAGCCUGUGCCCAGUGAGUUUCAUGACAGGCAGAGCUCCCAGGCUGCUUGGUCUCUGCCAACCCCAGACCCUAGUUAGGGAUGCUGGCAUACCUUUCACAGUGCUAGUGUUGAUGCUGUUAUUCCCUAGUCCUGGGUGGGAGGUGGAAGGGCAGUAUGGUGUUCAUUCCUCCUUCACCACUUGAUGGUGAUGCCCCCUCACAGGGUCUUUGUACAGAUGAGUUCUUUUUAUGUAGUCAGAAAGUCAACUCUGAAAAUUGUGCAAUGAUCUCUGCAUGCCAAGGACUGUCUGGGUACUGAAAAAGGAGGAAAGAAGACAGGAGGCCUCUGCCCUCAUGUUACAUGUGUAUAUACACUGACCAAAUGUAUGUGUGCUGGGCAUGUCACGUGCAUACAUCUGGAUGCAUCCUUCCUUCUAAAUCUACUUGUCACUAACAUCUGAAGUGAGCUUUCUUCUCAGAGGAGUCUUUUUUAUGUUAAUUGGGGCACCUCACCCCUCCUGCAUUUGUGGAGGAAGUCAGGAGCAGGUUCAUUUAUCAACUGACUUCCCUGUUCAGUUUCUAGCAGUAGGAUCCCAGCCCAUCAAAGAACCAGCCGGUGCCUUCAAACCCUGGACAAUGCAGACUAGCAUAGGCUCCUCAUUUCAUCCCUGCCAGAGCCCGACUCCUCUCUACGCCACACACAGACCUGUCUGUUUGAACAGAUCAGGAGCCACAGGGGUGAACCACUAGUUAGGCUAGCUCAAAAUGAAUACCUGGUCUCCUGAAUGGGGAUGAGGGGCAGCUCAUUUGAAGCCUGCCUACAAAGCCGUUUCCCCUGGACUGCACCGGCAUGGAAAUGAGGGCACUCCUCAUAUUUUUCCUUUUGACAUUUGAUUAAUAGUUGACAAAUCCAGACCCAAGUAGUUAGCUUUCCUAUUAUCCAUCUUUGACAGCCACUGCUGCUUUUCUUUUCAAGGCCCAUUGUUCUAAAAAUACACUCAGAUCUGAAGCUGUUCUCUGUGCACACAGAGGCGUGAUUUUAUGGUGUCAGAGAUAAGAGACAUCUGCCAUGCAGAUUACAAACAAAGCAGGUUACUGGUUUUCUGAAAUGAAGGCAGGGAUAUCGCACUACUGAAACCAUGUGUUGCCUGUACUUCCCUGAUGCUGUGGUAUGUCAUGAGAUUGCUAACCUGCUUGUUUGCCAUUAUGUGUGAUGCUUGCCUGUAUAUGUGCAUGCAGUGGCCAAGUACCAAGAUCACAGGCAUGUGCCAUCAUACCCCACAGAAAUACAUUUCUAAGAGUUGUUAUGUUGCCCAUCAAUGGGAGCUGCUGGCCUAGUGCCAAAGCAUGGGUCAUAGAAAAAAAAUAAUUUGAGUAGGAGAGGGCAAGUCACAUAGAUUAUCACAAAAAAUAUCAUCUUUCUGGUAGGGGCAGGAAAUACUGCACGUGGCCUCUGAAUAUGCCAGCAAGUGCUCAGAUCAGCUUUGAAGCCAGUGGACAGCAGCACUGUCAUGGGACCUUAGCCUGGAGAUGGAAGAGCCAGCCAGAUGGAAGGGGCUGCAUUUAAAACCCACCCAGUAGGACUUAAACCCUGCCUGGUUCUGACUUCCUUUUGAAUUGUCUCUAACAGAUUGGACCUCUCCAUGUCAGACCCUUUUAAAUAUGCAUGAAGUAUUCUACUGCAUUUGUGAUACUUUAGGGGUAUGAUUAGCAUCAUACGCUGCUACUAGUGUUUAUGGUUUUAAAUCCUGUCCUCACUGCAUUUAAAUAUUUUUAAUAGGAGUCUCUGAGUGUGCGUGUUGGAGGUCGAUCUAUGGAUGAAUGGUUUUGAACAGGUAAAUAUAGUUAGGUCUAACAAGUAAGUGUAGCUGCAAAGGUAAUUGGUAGCAUGUAUUUGGAGAGUAAAUUGUUGCUUCCAGUCAUAAUCCCCCCAUCCCCAGCAUUUAGAAACAAAAAAACAGCUCUGGUGCAGAGGAAUAUAGCAAAAUUGAAUAGCAGGAAAGGACAGGCUUGAAAUACUGGUUAACCAAUGAACCAAGACCCAUUAGAGUAAAUUACUGAGUAUGGGAACAUAGCCCCAUUGCUGGCUGGCUGGGACAAUUCGAUGCCCUGGCAUCCAUUUGUUUAAAAGGCAGCGCUCAGCCUCAUUUGCAGUAUUGGCAUGCUCAGAGUAAUGGAAGAAGAGAUGGCCAGAGAAAGAGGAGUAUGGAGGCUGUUCUGCCAGAGAGGGAACAGCGGCCUGCUUUCCAGUAAGUAGGUUUGCUUUUUGGUAACCUUUGUGCAGGCCCAUGUGGAAAGAGUAUGUAACAUGCUACUAAGGAGAUAUCCCAAAGCUACUUCCUUAGACAUCUCAAAUAAACAAACAGAUCACAGAGCCACACGUUCUUUACCUCUGACAUUUGCCCUGACAACUCCUGAGAGCAUUUUAUAGAUCCAGAAAAAGAAAGGGAACAUCAGAUCCUUCAAACAAUUAAUUGACAAGAGAAAGAAUAGCCUGUCACUAGGAGAGCUGGGAGCCCUGCACCUCAGCUACAGUUUAGUUAGCUAUGCUGGACCCUGAUUGGCUGACUGAUUUCUGGAGUCUAGUUUAAGCAGAUGUUGUCUAGACAGAUGCUGGAGGCAUGCUCUAUUGCUGUGACCAGGUACUUCUUUUAGGUUUUGCUACUGUGGAUGGGGCUAGAUAAUCCAGUGCCUGUGCUGUAGAUCUGUGGUGGCCUGUAGAAGCCAGGCAGCAUGUUACAACUGUCCAUCUGCCCCUGGAGUCAUUAUUGGCCAUGUGUUCUCCUUAGGAACCUGUCCCUGGCUGCAUCCACAGAGGGCCUCUGGGAUGGCCUAGCCAUACUCCACCUUACCCAGCAGAUGAGACCCUGAAACCACAGCCUUCCUCUGCCACCUUUGCAGCAUCCCAGAGACCUAGCACAGUAUCUGGGCUGAUAGGAUACUUGCAAAUGUCUCAGCCACAAAGAUAAGGCCCUGCCAUUCACACACUUCCUGCCUCCCUAGGCCACCAUACCCCGGGUGGCUCACUGGAGAACCACAGUGCUGAUCCUGAAGGGAUGCUUUUCUUCUGUUGGUUUGGCCUCUGGAGUUUAUUAGGUACUUACUGAUACCGUCAACUGUAGAUAGGGCUGAAGUGCAGGGAAAUGGCUGCCUGCAUGAAGUAAAAUUCAAUAAAACCGCAUUUUAAGUGAAAAAUCAGUAUAAACACCAGGCUUCUUUGCCAUGGAAACAGAGGUUGCUUAGAAACUGCCUAACGGCGAGUUCUAAAUUUUUUAAAGUCAAGUUAUCAUUUAAGCUACACAGCCCUACAGGUUAUUGAGAGAUAAUCACCUGCCUCGGGACAUGUGGAGGCAUGAGGCACAGCUGAGUGCCUCCUGCGCUCUGAGGACCAGGUAAUCUCUUGAUAACUGUGCUCCCUGGAGCCACCAAUUUGGGCCUGAGGGAAGGAGAAAGGAGUUUCAUUUAGGAGUUAAAUAGUGUAUGUAUAUUUUUCAGAAAUUGUUUCUCUAUGGGUUUGAAAAAA